RNAcentral lists this ribosomal RNA (490 nucleotides) under uncultured bacterium. RNAcentral's name for it is "partial 16S ribosomal RNA". It matches the Rfam family "Bacterial small subunit ribosomal RNA", at positions 29 to 505 of the family's 1533-position model. The record is from RNAcentral.
AGUGAACGCUGGCGGUAGGCCUAACACAUGCAAGUCGAACGGCAGCACAGUAAGAGCUUGCUCUUACGGGUGGCGAGUGGCGGACGGGUGAGGAAUACAUCGGAAUCUACUUUUUCGUGGGGGAUAACGUAGGGAAACUUACGCUAAUACCGCAUACGACCUACGGGUGAAAGCAGGGGAUCUUCGGACCUUGCGCGAUUGAAUGAGCCGAUGUCGGAUUAGCUAGUUGGCGGGGUAAAGGCCCACCAAGGCGACGAUCCGUAGCUGGUCUGAGAGGAUGAUCAGCCACACUGGAACUGAGACACGGUCCAGACUCCUACGGGAGGCAGCAGUGGGGAAUAUUGGACAAGGGGCGCAAGCCUGAUCCAGCCAUACCGUGUGGGUGAAGAAGGCCUUCGGGUUGUAAAGCCCUUUUGUUGGGAAAGAAAAGCAGCAGGUUAAUACCCCGCUGUUCUGACGGUACCCAAAGAAUAAGCACCGGCUAACUUCG